GGGGAUUUAGCUCAGCGGUAGAGUGCUUGCCUAGCAAGCACAAGGCCCUGGGUUCGGUUCCCAGCUCCG
This 69-nucleotide transfer RNA is filed under the name Rattus norvegicus (Norway rat). It matches the Rfam family "tRNA". Rfam says of the family: Transfer RNA (tRNA) molecules are approximately 80 nucleotides in length. Their secondary structure includes four short double-helical elements and three loops (D, anti-codon, and T loops). Lineage: Eukaryota; Metazoa; Chordata; Mammalia; Rodentia; Muridae. The record is from Rfam by way of RNAcentral.